UGAUAAACAUAAGCGACUAGCAGCAGUGGGUCGUCUCAUGAACAAAUCGCUCUCUGUAAGGUGAUGUUCCUUUUGGAAGUUUAUCCCCCUCCAUAAGAUGACAUACGGGAAGGGCUAUCAACCAAAGCACCCAACAUUCUCUGGACCAAGGAAUGGACACAUGGCCCCAAAAAAAUACUGAAAUUGUGGGGUCGCUUACCUGGCUUACCUGUUCCU
Molecule: long non-coding RNA, 216 nt
Organism: Balaenoptera ricei (Rice's whale)
Lineage: Eukaryota; Metazoa; Chordata; Mammalia; Artiodactyla; Balaenopteridae
Exons: 3
Source: RefSeq, a predicted model, not a curated record